CGCGUAGGCGGGUCGGCAAGUCAGAUGUGAAAUCCAUGGGCUCAACUCAUGAACUGCAUUUGAAACUGUCGGUCUUGAGUGUCGGAGAGGCAAGCGGAAUUCCGUGUGUAGCGGUGAAAUGCGUAGAUAUACGGAGGAACACCAGUGGCGAAGGCGGCUUGCUGGACGAUAACUGACGCUGAGGCGCGAAAGCGUGGGAGCAAACA
This 206-nucleotide ribosomal RNA is filed under the name uncultured bacterium. RNAcentral's name for it is "partial 16S ribosomal RNA". It matches the Rfam family "Bacterial small subunit ribosomal RNA", at positions 568 to 774 of the family's 1533-position model. The record is from RNAcentral.